This 897-nucleotide long non-coding RNA is filed under the name Nicotiana benthamiana. Its description in RNAcentral is "long non-coding RNA (NBEN_LNC007435)". The record is from RNAcentral. Lineage: Eukaryota; Viridiplantae; Streptophyta; Magnoliopsida; Solanales; Solanaceae.
UUCUCUUUUUCUUAAGAAAUCUGGCUCUUCUAUUGUCUUGUUGGCUGUCUAUGUUGAUGACAUUAUUCUCACUGGUAAUGAUUUGGAGGAGAUCACUGCUUUGAAAGACUUUCUGGAUCAUGAGUUUAAAGUCAAGGACUUGGGGGUGCUCAACUAUUUUCUUGGAAUUGAGGUCAGUUAUCACUCUAAUGGGCUUCUUCUAAACCAGAAAAAGUUUAUCACUGACUUGCUCAAAACCUAUCACUGUGAGGAUGUUUCUUUUCUCUGUUAAACUCAAACUGGAUAUGGGGGAUCCUCUUCCCUCUCCUGAAUCCUAUAGGUUCUUAGUGGGGAAACUCAAUUUUCUCACCCACACUAAACCUGACUUGGCCUUUGCUGUACAUCAUUUGAGUCAAUAUCUCCAGAAGCCUACCUCCUCUCAUAUGCAUGCAGCUUUGCAUACUCUGAGAUAUCUUAGAGGCACUUCUGAGCUUGGCAUUUUUCUCAGCAACACACCUGACCUCUCCUUAUCUGCUUAUUGUGAUAGUGGCUGGGCUUCUUGCCCAGACACCAGGAGAUCUGUCUCUGGCUUUUGUGUUCUGUUAGGUGGUUCUCUUAUUGGUUGGAAGGCUAAGAAACAGCCUAUGGUAUCUCUGUCUUCUGCUGAGGCUGAGUAUAGAGCCAUCAACAAGGUUGUUGGUGAGCUCACCUGGCUCAUACGAUUGCUGUCUGAUUUUGGGGUUCCUGUUACCAUUCCUUACCAGUCUUUUGUGAUAAUUAGGCAGCUCGUAUGAUUUUGGAGUUCCUAUUACCACACCCGUACCAAUUUUUUGUGAUAAUCAGGCAGCACUUCAUAUUGCAAAGAAUCCUGUGUUUCAUGAGCGGACCAAACAUAUUGAGGUGGAUUGUCAUUUCAUC